AGUAAAAGUCGUAACAAGGUCUCCGUUGGUGAACCAGCGGAGGGAUCAUUGUUGGA
This 56-nucleotide ribosomal RNA is filed under the name Phomopsis sp. F119. RNAcentral describes it as "partial 18S ribosomal RNA". It matches the Rfam family "Eukaryotic small subunit ribosomal RNA", at positions 1781 to 1831 of the family's 1831-position model. Lineage: Eukaryota; Fungi; Ascomycota; Sordariomycetes; Diaporthales; Diaporthaceae. The record is from RNAcentral.